Sarcophilus harrisii (Tasmanian devil) is the source of this 740-nucleotide long non-coding RNA. RefSeq lists it as uncharacterized. NCBI's taxonomy places the organism in Eukaryota, Metazoa, Chordata, Mammalia, Dasyuromorphia, Dasyuridae. The transcript has 3 exons. The record is from RefSeq and is a predicted model, not a curated record.
GAAAGAAAGAAAGAAAGAAAGAAAGGAAGAAAGGAAGAAAGGAAGGGAGGGAGGAGUCUUACAAAUGACUAAUUCCAGGCCAGCUUUCCUCACAAAAGUUGUUGUUUGUUCUUUGUUCUCAAAUUGGAUUAUGACAUAAGGAAAGUGAUGUCAUGACAUUCACUUGCAUAUCAUAUUACUAUUAGCAUAUAGUUUUAUAUGUACAUAUUUUUCUUGUAAGCUCUCUGAGGGUAGUGAAUAUUUAAUUUUUGUUUUUUUUCUCUAAUUCCUAGCACUGCCGGAUAACAAGAGCUUUAUUAACACUUGUUGAUCAAUGGACUCAUCUAGUCCAAUUCUUAAGUUUAUUUUACAGAUAAGCAAGGGAGUCGCAGAGAUGUCUUGUAACUUGCCUAAAGUUUUGAAUCAAGGUCCUGACUCUAAUUUUAUUUCUCUUUCCACUACCCCACACUGCCCUCUUCCUGGGUCAUGGAUCAUUGGAGUAUUUGUUCCGGGCACCUACCUGGAUAUCUUCCAUACUAUUUGGGUUGCAAAACAAAGGAAGCUUCUGACACGCUGGGAUAGAGUUGACCCGUGACCAUCUGGAUGAAAGCAUAUGUACCGGGACAAGACUUCAAGUGAUCAUUUGGUCCAGAAGCAUUUUCAGUCAGAUGGAGAAAAUGAGGCUCAGAGAGUGGGGUAACUUAAGAUAACACUACUUUUAAUCAGAAGUGCCAGAACUUGAAAUCAAAAUUGUAAACUCC